RNAcentral lists this ribosomal RNA (480 nucleotides) under uncultured bacterium. Its description in RNAcentral is "partial 16S ribosomal RNA". It matches the Rfam family "Bacterial small subunit ribosomal RNA", at positions 28 to 507 of the family's 1533-position model. The record is from RNAcentral.
GACGAACGCUGGCGGCGUGCUUAACACAUGCAAGUCGAACGAUGAAGAAAAGAAUCGAAGCUUCGGCAGAAAUUCAUUUCGGAUUAGUGGCAGACGGGUGAGUAACGCGUGAGCAACCUACCUCUUACAAAGGGAUAGCCUCGGGAAACCGGGAUUAAUACCAUAUAACAUUGCGACGAAGCAUUUCGCUGCAAUCAAAGCUACGGCGGUAAGAGAUGGGCUCGCGUCCCAUUAACCGGAUGGUGAGGUAACGGCUCACCAUAGUGACGAUGGGUAACCGGCCUGAGAGGGUGAACGGUCACACUGGAACUGAGACACGGUCCAGACUCCUACGGGAGGCAGCAGUGGGGAAUAUUGCACAAUGGAGGGAACUCUGAUGCAGCGACGCCGCGUGAGUGAUGAAGGAAUUCGUUUCGUAAAACUCUGUUCUAUGGGAAGAAAAGGACUGUACCAUAGGAGAAAGCUCCGGCUAAAUACGUG